UCAAGAAACCUCCACAAUGGGCGAAAGCCUGAUGGAGCGACGUCGCGUGAUGGACGAAGUGCUUCGGCACGUAAACAUCUUUUAUGUGGGAUGAAAUUAUUGACAGUACCACAUGAAUAAGGGGCUCCUAACUCUGUGCCAGCAGGAGCGGUAAUACAGAGGCCCCAAGCGUUAUCCGGAAUCACUGGGCGUAAAGGGUGUCGAGGCGGUUGUAUUAGUCGUUCGUAAAAUCUACGAGCUUAACUUGUAGGCGGCGAACGAAACGGUACGACUUGAGGUUUGGAGAGGUGCGUGGAACUCACGGUGUAGGGGUGAAAUCCGUUGAUAUCGUGGGGAACACCAAAGGCGAAGGCAGCGCACUGGCCAAAAUCUGACGCUCACACACGAAAGCUAGGGUAGCGAAGAGGAUUAGAUACCCACGUAGUCCCUGAGCGGGCUGGCAAGGCGCAU
Molecule: ribosomal RNA, 450 nt
Filed under: uncultured bacterium
Lineage: Bacteria
Description: bacterial SSU rRNA
Rfam family: Bacterial small subunit ribosomal RNA
Source: RNAcentral